RNAcentral lists this ribosomal RNA (464 nucleotides) under uncultured bacterium. RNAcentral's name for it is "SSU rRNA". It matches the Rfam family "Bacterial small subunit ribosomal RNA", at positions 26 to 518 of the family's 1533-position model. The record is from RNAcentral.
AGGACUAACGCUGGCGGCGUGCCUAACACAUGCAAGUCGAACGGGGUAGCAAUACCCAGUGGCAGACGGGUGAGUAACACGUGGUCAACCUACCUCUGUGUGGGGGAUAACUAGCCGAAAGGUUAGCUAAUACCGCAUACGAUCGUUUUGAGGCAUCUCGAGACGAUGAAAGGAGCAAUCCGCACGGAGAGGGGACUGCGUCCCAUUAGUUAGUUGGUGGGGUAACGGCCUACCAAGACUCCGAUGGGUAGCUGGCUUGAGAGAGCGACCAGCCACACUGGAACUGAGAAACGGUCCAGACUCCUACGGGAGGCAGCAGUGAGGAAUUUUCCGCAAUGGGCGAAAGCCUGACGGAGCGACGCCGCGUGUGGGAUGAAGGCCUUCGGGUCGUAAACCACUGUCGAAGGGGACGAUAAUGACGGUACCCUUGGAGGAAGCCCGGCUAACUACGUGCCAGCAGCCGC